RNAcentral lists this ribosomal RNA (406 nucleotides) under uncultured bacterium. RNAcentral describes it as "partial 16S ribosomal RNA". It matches the Rfam family "Bacterial small subunit ribosomal RNA", at positions 29 to 526 of the family's 1533-position model. The record is from RNAcentral.
AUUGAACGCUGGCGGCAGGCCUAACACAUGCAAGUCGAGCGAGCGGCGGACGGGUGAGUAAUGUCUGGUAAACUGCCUGAUGGAGGGGGAUAACUACUGGAAACGGUAGCUACUACCGCAUACCAUCAGAUGUGCCCAGAUGGGAUUAGCUAGUAGGUGGGGUAACGGCUCCCCUAGUCGACGAGCCCUAGCUGGUCUGAGAGGAUGACCAGCAAAAAGGGAACUAAGACAAGGUCCAGACGCCUACGGGAGGCAGCAGGGAGGAAGAUGGCAGAAUGGGCGGAAGCCUGAUGUAGCCAUGCCGCGUGUGGGAAGAAGGCCUUCGGGUUGUAAAGCAGUUUCAGCGGGGAGGCGUUACCCGCAGAAGAAGCACCGGCUAACUCCGUGCCAGCAGCCGCGGUAAUAC